Molecule: microRNA precursor, 72 nt
Organism: Nomascus leucogenys (northern white-cheeked gibbon)
Lineage: Eukaryota; Metazoa; Chordata; Mammalia; Primates; Hylobatidae
Rfam family: mir-3689 microRNA precursor family
Source: Rfam
GGGAGGUGUGAUAUUGUGCUUCCUGGGAGGUGUGAUCCCGUGCUCCCCGGGAGGAGUGAUCCCGCGCUCACU